AUGUGGUUUAAUUCGAUGAUACGGCGAGGAACCUUACCCGGGCUUGAACGGCAGGAGAACGAUUCAGAGAUGGAUGAGGUCCUUGCGGGACUCCUGUGGAGGUGCUGCAUGGUUGUCGUCAGCUCCGUGGCCGUGAGGUGUCGGCUUAAGUGCCAUAACGAGCGCAACCCCUUUCGUUAGUUGCCAUCAGGUGAUGCUGGGCACUCUGGCGAUACUGCCACCGUAAGGUAAAAGGAAGGUGGGGAUGACGUCAAAUCAGCACGGCCCUUACGUCCGGGGCUACACACGUGUUACAAUGGGUGGUACAGAGAGCUGGUCGUCUGCAAAUGCGAUCAAAUCCUAAAAGCCAUCCUCAGUUCGGAUUGGGGUCUGCAACCCGACCCCAUGAAGCUGGAUUCGCUAGUAAUCGCGCAUCAGCCAUGGCGCGGUGAAUACGNUCCCGGGCCUUGUACACACCGCCCGUCAAGCCAUGAAAGCCGGG
RNAcentral lists this ribosomal RNA (481 nucleotides) under uncultured bacterium. Its description in RNAcentral is "bacterial SSU rRNA". It matches the Rfam family "Bacterial small subunit ribosomal RNA", at positions 939 to 1415 of the family's 1533-position model. The record is from RNAcentral.